Molecule: small nucleolar RNA, 138 nt
Organism: Tachyglossus aculeatus (Australian echidna)
Lineage: Eukaryota; Metazoa; Chordata; Mammalia; Monotremata; Tachyglossidae
Source: RefSeq, a predicted model, not a curated record
AUCCUCUCAGGAUCGCACCUGGAGAGUUUCCAGUACUCAACCAAUCUUGGCUAUAGGAGGGAGAGUCAAGCAGAGGCCUACCCAUUCCAUUCCUAGCUUGGAUAGUGGCUAGUGAGUGGAAGGCAAUCUGUUACAAGU